GGGGAGAUAGUUUAAUUGGUAAAACAUUGGUCUCCAAAACCAAAGUAUGAGGUUCAAAUCCUUGUCACCCCGCCA
RNAcentral lists this transfer RNA (75 nucleotides) under Clostridium perfringens. RNAcentral's name for it is "tRNA-Trp". It matches the Rfam family "tRNA". Rfam says of the family: Transfer RNA (tRNA) molecules are approximately 80 nucleotides in length. Their secondary structure includes four short double-helical elements and three loops (D, anti-codon, and T loops). Further hydrogen bonds mediate the characteristic L-shaped molecular structure. tRNAs have two regions of fundamental functional importance: the anti-codon, which is responsible for specific mRNA codon recognition, and the 3' end, to which the tRNAs corresponding amino acid is attached (by aminoacyl-tRNA synthetases). tRNAs cope with the degeneracy of the genetic code in two manners: having more than one tRNA (with a specific anti-codon) for a particular amino acid; and 'wobble' base-pairing, i.e. permitting non-standard base-pairing at the 3rd anti-codon position. The record is from RNAcentral. RNAcentral also lists the same sequence under 4 other names. Lineage: Bacteria; Bacillati; Bacillota; Clostridia; Eubacteriales; Clostridiaceae.